RNAcentral lists this long non-coding RNA (971 nucleotides) under Malus domestica (apple). Its description in RNAcentral is "long non-coding RNA (MDOM_LNC017662)". Lineage: Eukaryota; Viridiplantae; Streptophyta; Magnoliopsida; Rosales; Rosaceae. The record is from RNAcentral.
UUUGAGAAAGUAGUCAUGUUGGGAGUCUGGCUCUCGAGAUUCGGAGGACGGUGCCUCUUCGAUUUUGGAGCAAGCAAUCUUGUUGGGAGUGUUUUCUCGAAUGUGAGUAAAGGUUGAGCAUGUUUGCUAGUCUACCUUGCCACGAAGCACAGAGGUUGACACACAGGGACUUUCCAAUUAUCCAGCAGUGGUACUGUUCCUUUACCCUUGUGGGUAAUAAUAUGGUAGCUAGACCUUCAAAAUUUAUGUGUCUAAACUUUGUUAGUGCUGUUUCUUUGCUAUUCUUUUACCUUUCUUGGUCAGAGCGAUGUAGUGGGAGCUGCAAGCUUCACGUGCUCAACUUUGGCAGAGAACUUUGGCAAAGUUAUCUGUGGUACCCAUGAGCUAUUGUUGCGUGUGGGAAGUGGGUGAUUGAACAGUAAGAUUCAUGUGCUUUCUACUUCACCAGAAGUCUUCGACAGAAUGCCCAUAAUUUCUGCAAAGCUGAGUGUGCGUGUGACAGGUGCUGACAAGGCUAGAAAAGUAGGUGCCUCUUCGAUUUCUGAGAUCGGCCCUCGUGGUCUCUGAGCAGCCCAGCUUUUGAGAAAGCGAGCGCCUCUUCGAUUUGAUUCGGGAGAACGAUGCCUCAUCGAUUUUUGAGAAAGCAAUCAUGCUGGGGGUCUGGCUCUCGAAGAUUCGGGGAGCAGUGUCUCUUCAAUUUUUGAGAAAGUAAUCAUGUUGGGAGUCUGGCUCUCGAGAUUCGGAGGGCGGUGCCUCUUCGAUUUUGGAGCAAGCAAUCUUGUUGGGAGUGUUUUCUCGAAUGUGAGUAAAGGUUGGGCAUGUUUGCUAGUCUACCUUGCCACGAAGCACAUAGGUUGACACACAGGGACUUUCCAAUUAUCCAGCAAUGGUACUGUUCCUUUACCCUCUCUUCGAUUUUUAAGAAAGUAGUCAUGUUGGGAGUCUGGCUCUCGAGAUUCGGAGGACGGUGC